CUGGAUUCGACGGGAUUCGCGAAACCCAAGGUGCAUGCCGAGGGGCGGUUGGCCUCGUUAAAAGCCGCAAAAUAAUAGUCGCAAACGACGAAAACUACGCACUAGCAGCUUAAUAACCUGCUUAGAGCCCUCUCUCCCUAGCCUCUGCUCUUAGGACGGGGAUCAAGAGAGGUCAAACCCAAAAGAGAUCGCGUGGAUGCCCUGCCUGGGGUUGAAGCGUUAAAUCCAAUCAGGCUAGUUUGUUAGUGGCGUGUCUGUCCGCAGCUGGCAAGCGAAUGUAAAGACUAGA
This 289-nucleotide unclassified non-coding RNA is filed under the name Xenorhabdus bovienii str. feltiae France. Its description in RNAcentral is "tmRNA". It matches the Rfam family "transfer-messenger RNA", at positions 10 to 307 of the family's 374-position model. Rfam says of the family: Bacterial tmRNA, also known as 10Sa RNA or SsrA, is named for its dual tRNA and mRNA-like properties. Its role is to liberate the mRNA from a stalled ribosome. Lineage: Bacteria; Pseudomonadati; Pseudomonadota; Gammaproteobacteria; Enterobacterales; Morganellaceae. The record is from RNAcentral. RNAcentral also lists the same sequence under 2 other names.